GCUGGGCAUGGUGGCACAUGCCUGUAAUCCAGAGGCUUGGGAGGCUGAGGCAGGAAGAUGUUUCAAAGAUGCUGAAUUCAAAGCCAGCCUCAG
This 93-nucleotide small RNA is filed under the name Marmota monax (woodchuck). The record is from RNAcentral. Lineage: Eukaryota; Metazoa; Chordata; Mammalia; Rodentia; Sciuridae.